ACCUGCAAAAGAUGGCCGAGGAGAAGCACCACCACCACCUCUUCCACCACCACAAGGAGGAGAAGCCCGCGGAGGAGGUGAUAUACUCCGAGACAGCCUACUCCGGCGGCGAUGACUACGCCUCCGGCUACACCGAGACUGUCGUCGCCGAGUCGGCUUCCGAUGAGUACGAGAAGUACAAGAAGGAAGAGAAGCAUCACAAGCACAAGGAGCACCUCGGCGAGAUGGGCGCUGUCGCCGCCGGUGCCUUUGCUCUGGUAAUUCGUCUUGAUCAUAGGUUUCGGUUCUGCUAAUGAUCACCUACAAACAAUUUAAGUUGACAUUAGAACACAUGGCGAUGCAACAGUACGAGAAGCACGAGGCGAAGAAGGACCCCGAUCACGCCCACAAGCACAAGAUCGAGGAGGAGAUCGCUGCGGCGGUGGCGGUUGGCAGCGGAGGCUAUGCCUUCCACGAGCACCAUGAGAAGAAGGACGCCAAGAACGAGGCGGAGGAAGCGAGCGGAAAGAAGCAUCACCACCACCUCUUUUAGGGGCUGCCCUCUUUGAUCGGCUUCCAUGUUGUGCACCAAAUAAGUUCAGGCUGGCUUGUCAUGAUGGCCUUGGCUGCUACAAUAAUUGGGUGCAUGUGUUAUGUGAAAUAGAUUUGUGUUGAGUGUGGGAUGCUUGGUACUUUUGUUUUUUUUUCUUUUAUCCUUGUAUCAAAAACCCUUAAAAAU
RNAcentral lists this long non-coding RNA (718 nucleotides) under Musa acuminata (dwarf banana). RNAcentral's name for it is "long non-coding RNA (MACU_LNC006565)". The record is from RNAcentral. Lineage: Eukaryota; Viridiplantae; Streptophyta; Magnoliopsida; Zingiberales; Musaceae.